Rattus norvegicus (Norway rat) is the source of this 196-nucleotide small nuclear RNA. Ensembl annotates it as U4 spliceosomal RNA. The record is from Ensembl. NCBI's taxonomy places the organism in Eukaryota, Metazoa, Chordata, Mammalia, Rodentia, Muridae.
AGCUUUGCACAGUGGCAGUAUCGUAGCCAAUGAGGUUUAUCCGAGGCGCGAUUAUUGCUAAUUGAAAACUAUAAGAGUUGUCUUGGACAUGGAUCUGUUCCCAGAAAUAAAACCCUCACUAAGACAGCCAUCUUUAGAGAAUACAAUGUUGGGCUUGGUACUUUAUAAACUGUGUAAGGGACAGCUUAAGAUAUAU